Molecule: small RNA, 575 nt
Filed under: Pongo abelii (Sumatran orangutan)
Lineage: Eukaryota; Metazoa; Chordata; Mammalia; Primates; Hominidae
Description: retained intron
Source: RNAcentral
AUUGUCCUCAUGUCACUGUUCUUAUUGUUACUUUUACAGGCUCAUAUCUGGUGUUAGUCGGCCAGAUGAGGUGCUCGAGUGUAUUGAAAGAGGAGUGGACUUAUUUGAGAGUUUUUUCCCUUAUCAAGUAACAGAGCGGGGAUGUGCCCUGACUUUCAGUUUUGAUUACCAGCCAAAUCCUGAAGAGACACUACUACAACAAAAUGGAACACAAGAAGAAAUUAAAUGUAUGGAUCAAAUAAAGAAAAUGGAAACAACUGGUUGCAACCAAGAAAUAACAUCAUUUGAAAUUAAUCUGAAGGAAAAAAAGUACCAGGAGGACUUUAACCCGCUGGUGAGAGGAUGUUCCUGUUACUGCUGUAAGAAUCACACUCGGGCAUAUAUCCACCAUCUGCUGGUGACCAAUGAGCUGCUGGCCGGAGUCCUGCUUAUGAUGCACAACUUUGAACACUACUUUGGGUUUUUCCAUUACAUCCGGGAAGCACUAAAAAGUGACAAACUGACACAGUUGAAAGAGCUCAUCCACAGGCAGGCAUCUUGAGAUCUUGCAAAUAUAAGUCUCACUCUUCACACUG